Molecule: ribosomal RNA, 480 nt
Filed under: uncultured soil bacterium
Lineage: Bacteria
Description: bacterial SSU rRNA
Rfam family: Bacterial small subunit ribosomal RNA
Source: RNAcentral
AGAACGAACGUUGGCGGCGUGGAUUAGGCAUGCAAGUCGAACGAAUCCCAUUUGGGUAACUGGAUGGGGGAAGUGGCGAAAGGGGCAGUAAUGCAUGGGUAACCUACCCUGGAGUUGGGCAUAGCUAUUCUAACGAAUAGGUAAUUCCCGAUGGCCCAGCGAGAAGACAUCUUGUUGCUGGUAAAGAGUUUCGCUCCGGGAGGGGCCCAUGUGCUAUUAGCUAGUUGGCGGGGUAACGGCCCACAAGGCUAAGAUGGCUAGCGGGUGUGAGAGCACGACCCGCGCCACUGGCACUGAGACACUGGCCAGACACCUACGGGUGGCUGCAGUCGAGGAUCUUCGUCAAUGGGCGAAAGCCUGAACGAGCGACGCGCGUGCGCGAUGAAGGCCUUCGGGUUGUAAAGCGACGAAAGUGGGACGAAGCCGAAAGGUUGACGAUCACAGUAAGCUACGGCUAAGUUCGACGCCAGCCGAGACCGC